This 1089-nucleotide ribosomal RNA is filed under the name Triticum aestivum (bread wheat). RNAcentral's name for it is "partial small subunit ribosomal RNA". The record is from RNAcentral. Lineage: Eukaryota; Viridiplantae; Streptophyta; Magnoliopsida; Poales; Poaceae.
AUGAAUAUUUUGUGUUUGAACUGUCGCGGAAUUGGGCAGCCGGAGACAGUUCGUGAAAUAUGUGUCCUCAUUAGGUUACAUCGCCCUGCCUUAGUUUUUCUCUCGGAGAAGAGAGCGCAGGAUUUGAAGCUUCGUUUGGGUUUCAGCAAUGCUUUCGGAGUUAAAGCAAGGGGGCUGAGUGGUGGCCUAGUUCUUUACUGGAAUAAUGAGUCUCUCGUGUCCCUAAAGUCUUUCAGCAAUUCGCACAUUGAUGUGUUUGUGCGGAAUGAGGAUACAGGAGAGAAGGAAUGGCGCUUCACCGGGUUCUACGGUGAGCCGGCGAGAUCGAAGAGGAAGAAUAGUUGGGAGUUAUUGCAAUACUUGAGAAGAGAAUAUGAUCACCCGUGGCUAUGUGCGGGGGAUUUCAAUGAGGUUCUUGAUGCAUCCGAACAGUUUGGCGGCAAUGACAGAGAAGAGUGGAAGAUGGAGGGCUUCAGGGAUACUGUAGAUUACUGUCGGUUUAUCGACCUUGGGUUCUCCGGUCUUCCGUAUACAUGGGACAACCGGCAACAAGGUAGAUGUAACGUGAAAGUACGGCUGGAUAGAGGAAUGGCUGAUGAUAAAUUCCUAGAGCUUUUUGACAACACGUUUGUACAACACAUUCAGACAUCUGAAUCGGACCACUGUGCGCUUCUCUUAAGGACCCAACGGUCUGUUUGGGACCAUGACUGCAGCCGCAACAAGCCUUUCCGUUUCGAGAAUGCAUGGACGAGGCAUGAGAGGUACGAGGAAGUGGUAGUUGAGAGCUGGCAACCACAAGCAAAUGACCUGGCCGGGGUAUAUGACACACUGAAUUCUGUUCGCCAAAAGUUGCAGAAAUGGAGUAGGGAGGAGUUUGGCUCUGUUCAAAAACAGCUCAAAGCUAUGAGACACCGGCUGGAGAGGGUGCGAGCAGCUUCUCUGCGGUCUGGACCAACUAGAGCCGAGAAAGACCUCUUGAAACGUAUAUCUGAAUUGUUGGCCAGGGAGGAGGCGUUGACAAAGCAACGCUCCAGGGUACUUGGCUAUCAGAAGGUGAUAGAAACACUGAAUUUUUCCAUGCUAAGAUGA